RNAcentral lists this ribosomal RNA (450 nucleotides) under uncultured bacterium. RNAcentral describes it as "bacterial SSU rRNA". It matches the Rfam family "Bacterial small subunit ribosomal RNA", at positions 354 to 796 of the family's 1533-position model. The record is from RNAcentral.
GUGGGGAAUUUUGGACAAUGGGCGCAAGCCUGAUCCAGCAAUGCCACGUGCAGGAAGAAGGCCUUCGGGUUGUAAACUGCUUUUGUACGGAACGAAACGGUCCGGGUUAAUACCCUGGGCUAAUGACGGUACCGUAAGAAUAAGCACCGGCUAACUACGUGCCAGCAGCCGCGGUAAUACGUAGGGUGCAAGCGUUAAUCGGAAUUACUGGGCGUAAAGCGUGCGCAGGCGGUUUUGUAAGACAGGCGUGAAAUCCCCGGGCUCAACCUGGGAAUUGCGCUUGUGACUGCAAGGCUGGAGUGCGGCAGAGGGGGAUGGAAUUCCGCGUGUAGCAGUGAAAUGCGUAGAUAUGCGGAGGAACACCGAUGGCGAAGGCAAUCCCCUGGGCCUGCACUGACGCUCAUGCACGAAAGCGUGGGGAGCAAACAGGAUUAGAUACCCCUGUAGUCC